This 161-nucleotide ribosomal RNA is filed under the name Primula incana. RNAcentral describes it as "5.8S ribosomal RNA". It matches the Rfam family "5.8S ribosomal RNA". From Rfam's summary of the family: 5.8S ribosomal RNA (5.8S rRNA) is a component of the large subunit of the eukaryotic ribosome. The record is from RNAcentral. Lineage: Eukaryota; Viridiplantae; Streptophyta; Magnoliopsida; Ericales; Primulaceae.
AAAACGACUCUCGGCAACGGAUAUCUAGGCUCUCGCAUCGAUGAAGAACGUAGCAAAAUGCGAUACUUGGUGUGAAUUGCAGAAUCCCGUGAACCAUCGAGUUUUUGAACGCAAGUUGCGCCCGAAGCCAUAGGCUGAGGGCACGUCUGCCUGGGCGUCUC